This is a transfer RNA of 122 nucleotides. It matches the Rfam family "tRNA". From Rfam's summary of the family: Transfer RNA (tRNA) molecules are approximately 80 nucleotides in length. Their secondary structure includes four short double-helical elements and three loops (D, anti-codon, and T loops).
GGCACAGUGGUAGAGUGGUUAAUACGUGAGACUCGAAUUCCCAAAUGUGGCCGAGUCCGCAUUGGGCAAACUUAGACCAUCUCAUGCCUUCGGGCGCGUAGGUUCGAAUCCUGCCUGUGUCG